AUUGAACGCUAGCGGCAGGCCUAACACAUGCAAGUCGAACGAGUGGCGGACGGGUGAGUGAUGUCUGGGAAACUCCCCGAUGGAGGGGGAUAACUACUGGAAACAGUAGCUAAUACCACCUACCGUCGGAUGGGCCCGGGUGGGAUUAGCUAGUAGGUGGGGUAACGGCUCACCUAGGCGACGAUCCCUAGCUGGGCUGAGCGGAUGACCAGCCACACGGGAACUGAGACACGGUCCAGACUCCGACGGGAGGCAGCAGUGGAGAAUAGUGUACAAUGGGAGCAAGCCUGAUACAGCCCUGCCGCGUAGAGGGAGAAGGCCUUCGGGUUGUAAAGUACUUUCAGUGAGGAGGCGUUACUCGAAGAAGAAGCACCGGCUAACUCCGUGCCAGCAGCCGCGGUAAUAC
This 406-nucleotide ribosomal RNA is filed under the name uncultured bacterium. RNAcentral's name for it is "partial 16S ribosomal RNA". It matches the Rfam family "Bacterial small subunit ribosomal RNA", at positions 29 to 526 of the family's 1533-position model. The record is from RNAcentral.